Non-coding RNA from Photobacterium halotolerans, 53 nucleotides. Lineage: Bacteria; Pseudomonadati; Pseudomonadota; Gammaproteobacteria; Vibrionales; Vibrionaceae. The record is from Rfam.
CGUGUGGUGCCCGGCUUUGGAUCGGGAGAGCGACACGGCCUUAGCUAUGAGGU